GGGAAUGUGGCUCAGUGGUAAAGUGCUUGCUGGCAUGAGGCCCUGGGUUUGAUUCCCAGCACCCCA
Molecule: transfer RNA, 66 nt
Filed under: Marmota marmota marmota (Alpine marmot)
Lineage: Eukaryota; Metazoa; Chordata; Mammalia; Rodentia; Sciuridae
Also listed under: 2 other names
Rfam family: tRNA
About the family: Transfer RNA (tRNA) molecules are approximately 80 nucleotides in length.
Source: Rfam by way of RNAcentral